CAAAAACAAAAACAAAACAAUAGAGCAUUAGUAACUCCAGCAGAAAUAGCGUAAAUAUUGUAAAUAGGGAUUCACAAUAGAAACAGAUGCAAGGAAAGAACAUAAUUAACAUAAAUCAUUGAACAUGAGCAAUAGAGUAAAUAAGAAGGUUGAACCACAAAGUAAACACAUAGAGUUAAGGCAGAAAACUAAAUAAAAUAUAUACCCGUUUCGAGGGAAAACAAGUAAAAUAGUAGUCUUGAAAAGCCAAUUUGUAAGCAAACGGUUCCAAAAAGAUCUCAGAAAAGCAGAGUGUUGAAAGAGUAUUGAACUCAAAGCAAUAACGUGAAUGUGUGAUUUGGAAGUAAGAAGUUCGAGGUAUUGAACUUGAAGUGUCGAUUUAAAAGAAUUGAAUUGGAAGUGUGUCAAAAGUGUAGAAAGGAAGUCCCUUUUAUAGUGUAGAGAAACAAGUAAGAAAGGCAAGGAAAUGUCAUUGAAAUCAGUCUCCCUUUGGUUAAGGGAUUCUGAUUCCAACGGGUAAAAAUAAGUUAAGGAAAGAAAUUUCUAAUUAAAACCUUUCAAACCUCGGGUUUCUAAUAGAGACAGACAAAGAGGUGGAAAAAUAAGGUCAUUGAAAAAGGCUCAGAAGUCCUAUUCAAAGACUUAUGAGAGACAAGCAUACAUAAUAAAAGAACACUAACCCAAGGUCAUGAGACCAUGUUCGAGAAAGCUCAGAACUAAAAUAAGUUUCAAAAGAAAGAGAUGAUACGAUAGUAGAGAAAAAUUUUCUUAGCAGGAACACGAACAGAGUUCAGUAAAGUGAACAAAAUCAAAGAUCUCAACCAUAAACACAUAUAACAAAGAGUAAGAAAAACAAUACAAAGUGAUAUACGAGCAUUAUGGUAAUAGCAAAAGAUAGAAGAGUCUUGCAUAAUAGAAAAGAAACAAGAGAGAAAACUCAUGCGUAAUAAGAAGCAAACAUACGAGCACAAAAUACACAUAAAGAAAGAACAAGAAGAAUCAAAAAAUAUUUGAAGAAAUCCUUUUUCGGUAACCCUAAAAUUUAAAUUGAAUGAUUUUAAAGAUGAUAUUUUGGGAAAGCCUUUAAAGACAUGGCACAGAUCUAAGAAAAAUAAGCAAAUACAGAACCUCAGAUAUCUUAGAGUUGUAAAGAAAACCCUAGAAUGAGAAAGGCCUUGAGGAAAGUCGGAUGCUGAGUCGAAAAGACUGAUAUUGCGUGACACGCCAGGAUAAUGGCCGGAGAGGCCAUAUAUCUAUAGAUCUGAGAAGGAUCUGAAGAGAAUCAUCAAAGUUGGGCUUCAAAUCAUCGAACAGCUUAGGUCUAAUGGUGAGAUAGGGUGAGCAAUGUCAUCCAUGGCCUGGAAUGCCAUGGAUUCCAGUGGAAUAGUGGUAGAAUGAGGUGGGAGACGACUAGGGUAUUAGAGAGGCUAGAGAUACUUUCAUAGAUGAAGAGGGUUUCAAAGGCGGC
This 1468-nucleotide long non-coding RNA is filed under the name Nicotiana benthamiana. RNAcentral's name for it is "long non-coding RNA (NBEN_LNC012425)". The record is from RNAcentral. Lineage: Eukaryota; Viridiplantae; Streptophyta; Magnoliopsida; Solanales; Solanaceae.